UACGUAGGGUGCAAGCGUUGUCCGGAAUUAUUGGGCGUAAAGAGCUCGUAGGCGGCUUGUCACGUCGGGUGUGAAAGCCCGGGGCUUAACCCCGGGUCUGCAUUCGAUACGGGCAGGCUAGAGUGUGGUAGGGGAGAUCGGAAUUCCUGGUGUAGCGGUGAAAUGCGCAGAUAUCAGGAGGAACACCGGUGGCGAAGGCGGGUCUCUGGGCAGUAACUGACGCUGAGGAGCGAAAGCGUGGGGAGCGAACAGG
RNAcentral lists this ribosomal RNA (253 nucleotides) under uncultured bacterium. Its description in RNAcentral is "partial 16S ribosomal RNA". It matches the Rfam family "Bacterial small subunit ribosomal RNA", at positions 524 to 776 of the family's 1533-position model. The record is from RNAcentral.